Molecule: ribosomal RNA, 442 nt
Filed under: uncultured prokaryote
Description: bacterial SSU rRNA
Rfam family: Bacterial small subunit ribosomal RNA
Source: RNAcentral
UCUAGAAGCUUCGGCAAUGGGGGAAACCCUGACCGAGCGACGCCGCGUGUGGGACGAAGCCUUUUGGGGUGUAAACCACUUUCGACUGGGAAGAAAACCUGAUUCUUUCAGGCUUGACGGUACCAGCAGAAGAAGCACCGGCUAACUCCGUGCCAGCAGCCGCGGUAAUACGGGGGGUGCAAGCGUUAUUCGGAUUUAUUGGGCGUAAAGGGCGCGUAGGCGGCCAUGUAAGUCUGAUGUGAAAACUCCACCGCUCAACGGGGAGACUGCAUUGGAAACUGCAUAGCUUGAGUGCAUGAGAGGUCAGUAGAAUACCUGGUGUAGCGGUGGAAUGCGUAGAUAUCAGGUAGAAUACCAGUGGCGAAGGCGACUGGCUGGCAUGUCACUGACGCUGAGGUGCGAAAGCGUGGGUAGCGAACGGGAUUAGAUACCCCCGUAGUCC